AUGGGUGGCAUAGGCAAGACAACACUUGCUCAUCAUGUUUAUAGUUCUGUCAAGGAUAAUUUUGACAUUUGUGCUUGGGUUACAGUAUCACAUAGCUCUGAAGCAGAUGAUCUGCUGAGGAAAAUAGCUGUGCAGUUGCGCAAGAAUGAUCGGACAAAGAAGUUUCCCAAGGACGUUGAUGUAACAGACUGUAGAAGCCUAGUGAAGGCGAUCUGCUGUUACCUCGAGCACAAAAGGUACAUUGUUGUUCUGGACGAUGUGUGGAAUGUGAAUAUGUGGUUUGAUUGUAGAGAUGCUUUUCUUCAUGGCAAGGGCCGCAUACUGUUUACAUCAAGGAUUUAUGAGGUUAGUUUGGGAGAUGUGCCACAUAGUGUUAGAAGUUGUUUUCUGUACUGUUGCAUGUUCCCAGAGAAAUAUGUGAUGCAGAGAAAAUCUCUAGUAAGACUUUGGGUUGAACAAGGGUUUGUUGAAGAGAGUGAACAUAAGACACUCGAGGAGGUGUCUGAGGAUUAUCUAACCGAACUAAUCCACCGGUGUCUAUUGCUGGUAGUCAAGAGGAAUGACUCUGGAUGUGUAUAUGAAGUUCAAAUGCACGACAUCUUCUGUGUUUUAGCUCGUUCCAAGGCACGUGAAGAGAACUUUUGCGGUGCCUAUAACCCCUUGAAAAUUCAUGCCAUCAGAGAAGCACGACGUGUAUCAACUGAAACAGGGGAUAUUGCUCUGUUGGCACAGAGUGCUCCGCAUCUCCGCUCAUUGCUUGUCUUCCACAGUUCGUUUAGCUUCAUUUCACUCCGUUCACUAGCAAUGAGUAAUAAGUUGUUAUCCGUUUUGAACCUGCAAGAUAGUUCAAUUACGAGGCUACCAGCAGAGGUGUUUGGCUUGCGUAAUCUGCGACUAAAAAAUUUGCUGGUGUUGGAUGCCUGGAAGUGUGAAAUAAUGAAGCUACCAUCGCAAGUUAUGAAGCUCAGUAAGUUGACACAUCUUAUUGUGACUUCCAAGCAUGUUGGACCAUCAUUGCAGUUUGUUCCUUCUGUUGGUGUACCAGCUCCUGCUGGUAUAUGCUCUUUGACUAGCCUGCAGACACUUCUACAGAUGGAAGCUAGUGCUGAAAUGAUCCGUGCCAUGGGAGCUCUCGUGGAGUUGAGAACAUUCCGUAUCAGCAAAGUGCAAGGUUGCCAUUGUGAAGAUCUGUUCAAGGGUAUUGGCAGAAUGAUUCAUCUUACCCGUCUCGGAAUCCAGGCAGAUGAUAAUCAGGAAAUUUCGCAUCUCAAAGCAUUUCAGGCACCUCCCUUGCUUCAGAAGCUUUUCUUGCUUGGUGCACUAUCCAAGGAAUCCUUGCCUAAUUUCUUCACAGCACUUAGUAAACUGAAGAACCUCAAAUUUCUGAGGCUUGUUGGCUCACGGCUUAACAACGACGCUUUUCUGUAUCUUAAGGGAUUGGAGCAUCUAGUUAAGCUUCAACUUUAUCAUGCGUAUGCUGGUGAUAAGUUGUACUUUCCUGCAGCAUCAUUUCCGAAGCUCAGGCUCCUGCUCUGCCCACAGCUGAAGAUGCUGCCAGAUGGUAUUGAACAUGUGAGGACUCUUGAAGAACUGACUUUGGACGUGGCAGAAGAACUGAUUGACAGGGUUUGGCAGAAGAAAGAGAGGAGGAUUUUUCAUAUCCAACGAGUUUAUGUUGGGCCUCAGAGCUUACCGGUAUUAUAA
Molecule: ribosomal RNA, 1704 nt
Filed under: Triticum aestivum (bread wheat)
Lineage: Eukaryota; Viridiplantae; Streptophyta; Magnoliopsida; Poales; Poaceae
Description: partial small subunit ribosomal RNA
Source: RNAcentral